UCUUCAUUUCCAUUUUCAUGAAUAUCACUUUCCAAUUUCUAGGUAUUAUGACAGCACACAUUGCAAUUUUCAUCAAUGAAAAAAUUAAAAGGGGGAUUUUCUCCAUGAUCCUCAAUUUUUAAUUUAGAAACAGUCAUUUUUAGCUGCAAAACUUACUAUGUUCAUGUAACCCAGUUGACAAAUGCAUAUUAAAAACGUAUUAGUUGAUUAAAUAGCAUAAAUAGUAAAAUGGGAUAAUAAAUAGUGAUAAUACUGAUAAGGCAAUUCAUGAAUGAAGGUUUGGUAUCGUUAAAAACACGAUUAACAUAGCAGGACUUUUACUGUGACAGUUACGUUAUGGCACUUUUAUUUUGACAUGCGUUUCCACGCAUUCAGCUUUCCGUGGAGCCGUUCCAGUCAGUUGAGCUGAGAAGAGCUCGAAAGCUGAAGGAAAGACUUCGUUUCUUCUGCUCCACCCUGGAGCUAGAUAUUGAUAGAAAAUCAAUUCUAAGUUAAAGAUACCUACUUCUAAGUUUCAUUUUGGACCACCGAGCGACCUGCUCUGUAAAUCUUUUGUGUUUUGAAGAGCAAGAAGCUGCGCUUCGUCGUGUAUUGUUUCUGUUGAAUCGUCUCGGUGAAGUUUUUUGGACCUGGAUUCCGCUGUGGAUUGAUGACUGCGUUUGAUGGCGAGCCACCCACCCCAUUGAGUCGGAUCCUGUCCUGUGUCAUUGUACAUGGUGCAUAUGUGGUAGGGUUGUGACCUGCCUGUGUCACAACAACACUGACUGACUGACUUGAGUUGUUACUUUAACGGUUUACAAACUGAACUAAGGCCUUGAACUGAACGGAACUACUAUAAAGGAACUACUUUUUCUUUUCUUUUUUCUUGAACAACUGAAAGGAACUCUUUUCUCUUUGAGGAUUUAAAGGACUGAUUUAAAGGACUGUUCCCAACUUUUGGAAAAUAGACAAUUACUCACUUUUGAAGGACAAUUCAUUUUAUUUUAUUUUAAAGGGUCAAUUCUUUUCUUUUAUUUUGGGAAUAUGUACAUAUUUUCUACCUUGCAAUUCAUAACUAAAGAAAGAAAAAAAGUA
Molecule: long non-coding RNA, 1074 nt
Organism: Engraulis encrasicolus (European anchovy)
Lineage: Eukaryota; Metazoa; Chordata; Actinopteri; Clupeiformes; Engraulidae
Exons: 2
Source: RefSeq, a predicted model, not a curated record